UAAAAUACUUUUAGAAAUAGGUAAAUUCUCUUGGUUUUAACACAUUUAUUUUAUUAGGGAGUAAGAUAUAUACAAUAUUAAAACAGUCUCAAAAGGUUAGUACAAGAUGGUGCAGCAUAUAUUACGUAACUGCACAAGGGCGUUUUCACUUUCAUCGAAUGCUCUGGGAAGACUCAGCGGGAAAACUGCCAUAGUCACGGCCUCCACUGAUGGCAUUGGGUUUGCGAUUGCCCAGAAAAUGGGCCAAGAUGGUGCACAUGUUGUUAUUAGCAGCAGAAGACAAACAAACAUUGAUAAGGCUGUUGAACAGCUAAAGGAACAGAAUCUAAGUGCAUCUGGUAUGGUAUGUCAUGUUGGGAAGACUGAAGACCGAUUAAAUUUGCUUGAAAAGGUAAAAAAUGAACACGGAAGAGCUGAUAUACUCGUAUGCAAUGCAGCUGUAAACCCAUACUUUGGCCCUAUGUUAGAAACACCUGAAAACGCUGUUGAAAAAAUAUUGGACGUGAAUGUAAAAUCUACAUUCAUGCUCAUUAAAGAAGCAUUACCAUUGCUAAAGGCAGGAAAUAACUCAUCUGUGCUUAUUGUAUCUUCUAUUGCAGCCUACCAUUCAAUGGACCUACUCGGAAUGUAUUCUGUAAGUAAAACUGCUCUUGUAGGAUUAACCAAAGGUCUUGCUCCUGAACUUGGGAAAAUGAACAUCCGAAUCAAUUGCCUUGCUCCCGGGAUCAUUAAAACGAAGUUCAGCAGUGCUCUGUGGAAGAAUCCUGCAGCGGAGGAGCAGAUUGUAAAGCAGGUGGCUCUCGGAAGAAUUGGUCAUCCGGAAGAUUGCGGAAAUGCAGCUGCUCAUCUUUGUUCUGAUGAAGCUUCCUAUACAACAGGAGAGUGUGUCGUCGUUGCUGGAGGAAUGGCUUCAAGACUAUAAGCAAAAAUACUUUAAUUUAUAUGUAUAUUAUCGAUCAGGGCCUUUAUGUUUAUUGUUUUGCUAAAUAGUUCCUAAUUUAUUCAGUACUUUAUAUGUGCUACCUGCUGUAUGAAUGUAUAUGCUAUAAAAUGUGCUGCAAAAUACGAUGUAUAAAUAAUUUUAGAGU
Ciona intestinalis (vase tunicate) is the source of this 1088-nucleotide RNA transcript. It is a transcript of the gene named dehydrogenase/reductase SDR family member 4 pseudogene, with no coding region annotated. NCBI's taxonomy places the organism in Eukaryota, Metazoa, Chordata, Ascidiacea, Phlebobranchia, Cionidae. The record is from RefSeq and is a predicted model, not a curated record.